This 448-nucleotide ribosomal RNA is filed under the name uncultured bacterium. Its description in RNAcentral is "bacterial SSU rRNA". It matches the Rfam family "Bacterial small subunit ribosomal RNA", at positions 355 to 825 of the family's 1533-position model. The record is from RNAcentral.
UGGGGAAUCUUGGACAAUGGGCGCAAGCCUGAUCCAGCCAUGCCGCGUGAGUGACGAAGGUCUUCGGAUUGUAAAGCUCUUUUUGGCGGGGACGAUAAUGACGGUACCCGCAGAAUAAGCCCCGGCUAACUUCGUGCCAGCAGCCGCGGUAAUACGAAGGGGGUUAGCGUUGUUCGGAAUUACUGGGCGUAAAGCGCACGUAGGCGGAUCUAUAAGUCAGGGGUGAAAUCCCGGGGCUCAACCUCGGAACUGCCUUUGAUACUGUAGAUCUCGAGUCCGGAAGAGGUGAGUGGAAUUCCUAGUGUAGAGGUGAAAUUCGUAGAUAUUAGGAAGAACACCAGUGGCGAAGGCGGCUCACUGGUCCGGUACUGACGCUGAGGUGCGAAAGCGUGGGGAGCAAACAGGAUUAGAUACCCCGGUAGUCCCUGAGCGGGCUGGCAAGGCGCAU